AUAGCGUAUAUUAAAGUUGUUGCGGUUAAAACGCUCGUAGUUGAACCUUGGGCCUGGCUGGCCGGUCCGCCUCACCGCGUGUACUGUCUGGCUGGGUCUUACCUCUUGGUGAGCCGGCGUGCCCUUUAUUGGUGUGCGUCGGGGAACCAGGACUUUUACCUUGAGAAAAUUAGAGUGUUCAAAGCAGGCCUGUGCCCGAAUACAUUAGCAUGGAAUAAUAAAAUAGGACGUGCGGUUCUAUUUUGUUGGUUUCUAGAGUCGCCGUAAUGAUUAAUAGGGAUAGUUGGGGGCAUUGGUAUUGAGUCGCUAGAGGUGAAAUUCUUGGAUUGACUCAAGACCGACUAUUG
RNAcentral lists this ribosomal RNA (347 nucleotides) under uncultured eukaryote. Its description in RNAcentral is "SSU rRNA". It matches the Rfam family "Eukaryotic small subunit ribosomal RNA", at positions 594 to 945 of the family's 1831-position model. The record is from RNAcentral.